GACGAACGCUGGCGGCGUGCUUAACACAUGCAAGUCGAACGGAAAGGCCCUGCUUUUGUGGGGUGCUCGAGUGGCGAACGGGUGAGUAACACGUGAGUAACCUGCCCUUGACUUUGGGAUAACUUCAGGAAACUGGGGCUAAUACCGGAUAGGAGCUCCUGCUGCAUGGUGGGGGUUGGAAAGUUUCGGCGGUUGGGGAUGGACUCGCGGCUUAUCAGCUUGUUGGUGGGGUAGUGGCUUACCAAGGCUUUUACGGGUAGCCGGCCUGAGAGGGUGACCGGCCACAUUGGGACUGAGAUACGGCCCAGACUCCUACGGGAGGCAGCAGUGGGGAAUAUUGCACAAUGGGCGGAAGCCUGAUGCAGCAACGCCGCGUGCGGGAUGACGGCCUUCGGGUUGCAAACCGCUUUCGCCUGUGACGAAGCGUGAGUGACGGUAAUGGGUAAAGAAGCACCGGCUAACUACGUG
This 468-nucleotide ribosomal RNA is filed under the name uncultured bacterium. RNAcentral's name for it is "partial 16S ribosomal RNA". It matches the Rfam family "Bacterial small subunit ribosomal RNA", at positions 28 to 507 of the family's 1533-position model. The record is from RNAcentral.